Molecule: ribosomal RNA, 253 nt
Filed under: uncultured bacterium
Lineage: Bacteria
Description: partial 16S ribosomal RNA
Rfam family: Bacterial small subunit ribosomal RNA
Source: RNAcentral
UACAGAGGUCUCAAGCGUUGUUCGGAUUCAUUGGGCGUAAAGGGUGCGUAGGCGGCGCGGCAAGUCGGGUGUGAAAUCUCGGGGCUUAACUCCGAAACUGCAUUCGAUACUGCCGUGCUUGAGGACUGGAGAGGAAACUGGAAUUUACGGUGUAGCGGUGAAAUGCGUAGAUAUCGUAAGGAAGACCAGUGGCGAAGGCGGGUCUCUGGACAGUUCCUGACGCUGAGGCACGAAGGCCAGGGGAGCAAACGGG